CAUAGGUUAAUGAGGCGAACCGGGGGAACUGAAACAUCUAAGUACCCCGAGGAAAAGAAAUCAACCGAGAUUCCCCCAGUAGCGGCGAGCGAACGGGGAGGAGCCCAGAGCCUGAAUCAGCAUGUGUGUUAGUGGAAGCGUCUGGAAAGGCGCGCGAUACAGGGUGACAGCCCCGUACACAAAAGCGCAUGUGCUGUGAGCUCGAUGAGUAGGGCGGGACACGUGGUAUCCUGUCUGAAUAUGGGGGGACCAUCCUCCAAGGCUAAAUACUCCUGACUGACCGAUAGUGAACCAGUACCGUGAGGGAAAGGCGAAAAGAACCCCGGCGAGGGGAGUGAAAAAGAACCUGAAACCGUGUACGUACAAGCAGUGGGAGCCCCACCACUAAGCCAGUGGUGAACUCCACAUACGCAUCCUUUGCUGAGGAUACGGUUAACGGAGCGCAAGCGACGUUCAACCGCAAAAGAAGCAGAGGGGGCUUAGUGGUGGGGUGACUGCGUACCUUUUGUAUAAUGGGUCAGCGACUUAUAUUCUGUAGCAAGGUUAACCGUAUAGGGGAGCCGGAGGGAAACCGAG
RNAcentral lists this ribosomal RNA (576 nucleotides) under Salmonella enterica subsp. enterica serovar Nima. Its description in RNAcentral is "partial 23S ribosomal RNA". It matches the Rfam family "Bacterial large subunit ribosomal RNA", at positions 165 to 681 of the family's 2925-position model. Lineage: Bacteria; Pseudomonadati; Pseudomonadota; Gammaproteobacteria; Enterobacterales; Enterobacteriaceae. The record is from RNAcentral.